Molecule: ribosomal RNA, 114 nt
Filed under: Pogona vitticeps (central bearded dragon)
Lineage: Eukaryota; Metazoa; Chordata; Lepidosauria; Squamata; Agamidae
Source: RNAcentral
ACCUGAAAUGCAACCCUGACACACCUGAUCUCAUCUGAUUUGAGAAGCUAAGAAGAGUCGGGCCCGGUUGGUGCCUAGGUGGAUGAUUACCUGAUAAUACUAGGUAUCCAUGUU